RNAcentral lists this ribosomal RNA (450 nucleotides) under uncultured Glomeromycotina. Its description in RNAcentral is "SSU rRNA". It matches the Rfam family "Eukaryotic small subunit ribosomal RNA", at positions 569 to 1017 of the family's 1831-position model. The record is from RNAcentral. Lineage: Eukaryota; Fungi; Glomeromycota.
AGCAGCCGCGGUAAUUCCAGCUCCAAUAGCGUAUAUUAAAGUUGUUGCAGUUAAAAAGCUCGUAGUUGAAUUUCGGGAUUGACACGUCGGUCGUGCCCUAAGGGGUAUGAACUGGCGUAGUCAAUUUCUCACCUUCUGGAGAACCGCGCUGUCCUUAAUUGGGUGACGCGGGGAACCAGGACCUUUACUUUGAAAAAUUAGAGUGUUUAAAGCAGGCAUUUUGCUUGAAUACAUUAGCAUGGAAUAAUAAAAUAGGACGGCAUGAUUCUAUUUUGUUGGUUUCUAGGAUCACCGUAAUGAUUAAUAGGGAUAGUUGGGGGCAUUAGUAUUCAAUUGUCAGAGGUGAAAUUCUUGGAUUUAUUGAAGACUAACUACUGCGAAAGCAUUUGCCAAGGAUGUUUUCAUUAAUACAAGAACGAAAGUUAGGGGAUCGAAGACGAUCAGAUACCG